GGGGUUGUGGCUCAGUGGUAGAGUGCUUGCCUUGCAUGUGUGAAAUAAAAUAAAAUCCUAGUUGAAAGAAUGAAGUUUAAAAUAAAGACAUUUCAGACAAACAAAAACAACAUUCCCUACCAGCUACGCCUCUAUACAGGCAACUGAUGGACGUUCAAACAAAUUCUGCCUCG
RNAcentral lists this transfer RNA (173 nucleotides) under Marmota monax (woodchuck). Its description in RNAcentral is "tRNA.Ala". Lineage: Eukaryota; Metazoa; Chordata; Mammalia; Rodentia; Sciuridae. The record is from RNAcentral.